CAGAUAUUAGUUUAGUUAAAAUAUUAAUUUUGGAGAUUAAAGUUGAAGUUUAUUUUUUAUAUCUGA
This 66-nucleotide transfer RNA is filed under the name Calomicrus sp. BMNH 846518. RNAcentral's name for it is "tRNA-Pro". The record is from RNAcentral. Lineage: Eukaryota; Metazoa; Arthropoda; Insecta; Coleoptera; Chrysomelidae.